Molecule: ribosomal RNA, 459 nt
Filed under: uncultured bacterium
Lineage: Bacteria
Description: SSU rRNA
Rfam family: Bacterial small subunit ribosomal RNA
Source: RNAcentral
AGAAUCAACGCUGGCGGCGUGCCUAACACAUGCAAGUCGAACGAGAAAGUGGAGCAAUCCAUGAGUAAAGUGGCGCACGGGUGAGUAACACGUGGCUAACCUACCCUUGAGUGGGGGAUAACCUAGAGAAAUCUGGGCUAAUACCGCAUAAUACCUUCGGGUCAAAGGAGCAAUUCGCUUAAGGAGGGGGUCGCGGCCGAUUAGUUAGUUGGCGGGGUAAUGGCCCACCAAGACUAUGAUCGGUAUCCGGCCUGAGAGGGCGCACGGACACACUGGAACUGAAACACGGUCCAGACUCCUACGGGAGGCAGCAGUGGGAAUUUUGCGCAAUGGGGGAAACCCUGACGCAGCAACGCCGCGUGGAGGAUGAAGUCCCUUGGGACGUAAACUCCUUUCGAUCGGGACGAUAAUGACGGUACCGAGAGAAGAAGCCCCGGCUAACUUCGCGCUAGCAGCCGC